UGCCAGCAGCCGCGGUAAUACGUAGGGAGCGAGCGUUAUCCGGAAUUAUUGGGCGUAAAGGGCGCGCAGGCGGUCUUGUCCGUCAGGUGUGAAAGCCCGGGGCUCAACCCCGGAAGUGCAUUGGAAACUGGCGAACAUGAGUACGGGAGAGGAAAGUGGAAUUCCGAGUGUAGGGGUGAAAUCCGUAGAUAUUCGGAGGAACACCAGUGGCGAAGGCGGCUUUCUGGACCGAUACUGACGCUGAGACGCGAAAGCGUGGGGAGCAAACAGGAUUAGAUA
Molecule: ribosomal RNA, 279 nt
Filed under: uncultured bacterium
Lineage: Bacteria
Description: partial 16S ribosomal RNA
Rfam family: Bacterial small subunit ribosomal RNA
Source: RNAcentral